Molecule: ribosomal RNA, 497 nt
Filed under: uncultured bacterium
Lineage: Bacteria
Description: partial 16S ribosomal RNA
Rfam family: Bacterial small subunit ribosomal RNA
Source: RNAcentral
GACGAACGCUGGCGGCGUGCCUAAUACAUGCAAGUCGAGCGAAAGGACGCGAAGCUCGCUUUUCUCGUGUUAGCGACGGACGGGUAAGUCACACGUGGAUAACCCACCUCUAAGACUGAGGUAACGUCGGGAAACCCUAGCUAAUACCGGAUGAUAUUUUGAACCGCAUGGUUCGAAAGUGAAUGCCGUUUUUGCUGUCCCUUAUAGCUAUAUCCGCGCUGGUUUAGCAAGUUGGUAAGGUAACGGCUUACCAUGGCCACGAUGCAUAGCCGACCUGAGAGGGUGAUCGGCCACACUGGGACUGAGACACGGUCCAGACUCCUACGGGCGGCAGCAGUAGGGAAUCUUCCGCAAUGGGCGGAAGCCUGACGGAGCAGCGCCGCGUGAGUGAUGAGGGUCUUCGGGUCGUAAAGCUCUGUUAGUAGUGAAGAACACAUGUGUAAGGAACGGUGCAUAUCUUGACGGUACCUAAUCAGGAAGCCACGGCUAACUACGUG